UUAAGUGGUUACACGCACUAUUUGAAGUAAAGUAACUAAAAGUCAUUUGCACUCCUCGCCACUAGGCGGUGACAUUGACUAGUGAAUGGCAGUGUGAACUCUAAGCGGAACUAACGGGAGUUUUGCUAAACUUUAUGUCGGCAGCCAUUUCGGUAGUAGAAACUACAGUGCAACAAAUGUCUUUCUUCUGUUAAUUACAGAUGAAGUUUUUCUAAUUGAAAUAUGUGGCACCAGAUGACCUCUUCUGUCAUCAAUCUGCACCUGCUACAUAUUUUUGGAGUGCCAGCCAGAAGGGACUGAAGGAACAGAAGAGUGUCCCAAUCCUUACUUUGAACCCAGUCCAGAAAGUCCAGAUCAGCGUGAUUAAGUCCAAAGAGGAAACAUGGAGCAGCUCCAGGAUGAAGUCAGCUCAGUACUGUGGACAUUGGGAAAGCCUGAACUCAUAAAGGGCAUGUCAUCAACUAAAGUGUAGUGAACCAUGAGGGGAAGGAUUCCAUGGCUUAUCCCCGCCAUGCCCUGAGUCGUCUGGCAUCAGAUGAAGUUUUUCUAAUUGAAAUAUGUGGCACCAGAUGACCUCUUCUGUCACCAAUCUGCACCUGCUACAACAGCAACUCGUACUGGAACAUUCAUUAGCAGAUACCUUCUAAGUAAGUCUCAAACAAGGGAGAAUCGAUGCAACCCUCCUCCGCCCCUUUCACCUCCUGUUCCCAUCAUUCCCGGCUCACAGGGUUCCUCCUCCAUCAGAAGCCCAUCUUCACAUCCCAUCCAUCCAGAUCUUUGGGCUUCCUUUAUCCCUUCAUCACCUCCACCAGUGUCUAGACUCCAUCAGGGGAGGAUAUUCCUAAUUGUCAACGGCUUCUAUACCCCUUAUAAAUUAACAUUGCGAUGGAGUCUAAUCGCCAAAGACUACUAACAUUUCAAACUAUUAUGCACCAUGUUCAUUAAACUUAUUUCACUGAAAUAAAGUCUC
Molecule: long non-coding RNA, 970 nt
Organism: Sander lucioperca (pikeperch)
Lineage: Eukaryota; Metazoa; Chordata; Actinopteri; Perciformes; Percidae
Exons: 4
Source: RefSeq, a predicted model, not a curated record